UACGUAGGGUGCAAGCGUUGUCCGGAAUUAUUGGGCGUAAAGCGCGUGUAGGCGGUCCGGUAAGUCCGCUGUGAAAGUCGGGGGCUCAACCCUCGGAUGCCGGUGGAUACUGUCGGGCUUGAGUACGGAAGAGGCGAGUGGAAUUCCUGGUGUAGCGGUGAAAUGCGCAGAUAUCAGGAGGAACACCGAUGGCGAAGGCAGGUCUCUGGGCAUUAACUGACGCUGAGGAGCGAAAGCAUGGGGAGCGAACAGG
Molecule: ribosomal RNA, 253 nt
Filed under: uncultured bacterium
Lineage: Bacteria
Description: partial 16S ribosomal RNA
Rfam family: Bacterial small subunit ribosomal RNA
Source: RNAcentral